Molecule: non-coding RNA, 1004 nt
Organism: Equus caballus (horse)
Lineage: Eukaryota; Metazoa; Chordata; Mammalia; Perissodactyla; Equidae
Source: RefSeq, a predicted model, not a curated record
UAGCUGCCCUCUCUCCUUGCUCAGCGCUGUGCAAAAAUAAAGUUCCUACUUUCUUCCACCACCCCUGGUGUCAGAGAUUGGCUUGCUGCGCGACGGGUGAGUGAAUUCACUUCAGGUUCGGUAACAAUUUGGCGACCCAGAUGGGACAAUGUCCCAGGUGGACGUCUCGCCCUUGGCACACCGGCCUCUGGUGAAAGGCCUCUCUUGGAAGCUGUCCUGCAGCUGCCUGAGCCCCUUGUCUCAGGGACAGCCCCAAGUGGCUGGCUGCUAGCCAGACGUCGUUGGCCCACGGCGCUUUUGCUUUGGUAGUGGAAGAAACUAGGUUUAGGACAUAGGAAGACGUCUCUUGUAAGUAGCUGGUAGUUUUUGUUCUUGUCUUUGUGUUAAACUUUUCCAACAGGACCGGCCGGAAACAAUGGGUACCUUGGCAGCCCUCUGGGCUCCGUUUGUUUUGAAGUCUCCGCAACGCCCUGGCCAAAUUUUGGACACAAUUGGAAACACUGGUUAUAUUACCAAGACUUUGACUGGAAUAUCAUAUUUAAAAAGAACAUACAGGCUUGGAUAUAACACGACAGCUUUUGAGGAAUGAAGGUUGACAUAUUGGAAUAAAGCCACCUGGAAAUAUUGGCCUGGUACUGUGCUUAUGGGUUCUGUAACCUGGUAAGGUUGAGCAAAGAAUGUCGCUCCCUCUGGCAGGUACCAGGAACCUCAACGUUUUGGGGAACCUCAUGAAGAGAGAAAUUCACCCAAAUCUGCAGAAAAACUUCUUAUUAAAUACCUGGUUACUUACUUACAUGAUACAGGCCCACCUUCAGGAGCCCGCCAGCAUCACUGCCUUAUUAAAAGACUGGUUCAAUGAUAGGAAACAACCUACGCCCCAUUUCAGCAGGAAGUAGCUAGAUUGGUCGCUGCCCCAAAUCCCUCAAGAUUGAGGGACGGACAUAAAAUAGGGGGGAGUUGAUAUCGACCCUGAUAUCAGUUUCCCCACACAAAACCCAGCAUAU